This 1432-nucleotide long non-coding RNA is filed under the name Olea europaea subsp. europaea. The record is from RNAcentral. Lineage: Eukaryota; Viridiplantae; Streptophyta; Magnoliopsida; Lamiales; Oleaceae.
CCAAGACAGAGCCAGGUUAAAGCAUUGGGAGAAGCAAGAAAUUGAGAGGCGCAGACAGCAGGGAGAGCAAGGUCACGAGCAAGCCGAGCAAGAAAUGCCUCAAGCUCAUCCAUCACAGGCUGAGUUUAAUGCACAGUUGUGGCGCCAGAUUUUCACCACCACCACGGGGAUCAGCCGAGACGUGCAGAGUCUCCAGCAGGCUAUGGGGACUUUGACGACUGAGAUGCAUACAGCCCACCAUGACAUCCGCAUUUCCACUGAUAUGUCACGUGCUGCUCGCCAGGAUGCCCAGGCAGCUAGGAGGGAGAUGAACACUAUGAAUGAUCGACUCAGUGUGUAUGUGGGCAUGGUGGAUGGCAUCCAGAUGAGGGUAAAUGAAACUUGGGAGCGUUUGGGCGGGUUGGAGACACGUGUUGAGGGAAUCCACGACGAAAUGACACAGCAGUCAGCACUGAUGAGAGAGAUCUUGGCGCGCCUACCUCCACCUCCAACUGAUGAUACUGCAGGCUCUAGCUUCCCACCGCAGCCCCCGUUUUGAUCAGGGGAGUAUCGUUUGCCUAAUUUGUAUUCAUUUUCCUUAAAUUCUGCCUUCUAAACUUAUUUUUCACAUUGUGGACAAUGUCUUGUAUAAGUUUGGGGGAUGGUGGCAUAAUUUGAUUAAGACAUUCGGCAUGUAACUAAUUGCAUUUCCGCAAUCUAGAUUUAUUUUGACUAAUUGCUGCAUGAGACAUGCUUGUGAGUGAAUAUUGAUUAUGCUUAUGUAUGCUUGUGUGAGCUUAAUCGCCUUGCCGGCUAUAAUGUUACUAUUGGAUUGGUACAUUUCAGAACUUUGGGGUCGGUGCUAAUUAGGCUAACCUAUACUUGUUGAUGCAAUACUUGACAUUCUUUAUACACGUCAUUCAUGCUUGAUAUGUUAGGUCAGUGAUUGGGGUUUUGAGCAAUAAGUAGAGAGAUAGUUAUAACCCUCUAUUGAAUGAACCCGUAAAAUACCUUAAGACAGUUUGGUGAUAGUUGAGCUAUUAUAGGAGAACAUUGAAAUGAGUGAGGCUCCGUGCAUGAAUUAUUGUGUGGAUUGCCUAGACCAUUGGGAUGAAGAGUAGGUGAAAAUCUUAAAUUGAGGGUUAGUUUUGGAUACCAAAUGUCUAGAAAAAUAAGGGCAUGAACUUAAUUUGUGAGAAUAAGACACUUCUUUUUCAGCCUUUAUGACUCGAGCAAGUAAGCCUAUAAGGAUAUUUCAAAAUCUAGUGCCCUAAGGUCAACUGAUCUGGGAAUCACCGGCCUAAAGCUCGAUACAUGGGUCAUAUAGAAAGCAAGAAGUAAAAAAGUUAAUAAAAAGUCAUCUGAUCGAGCCUUUAUAACUCGAGUGAAUAAGCCUGCAAGGGUCUAAAAUUUGGUGCCCUAAAACCAACUGGUUUAGGAGUUACCGGCCUAA